GGUAAGAAUGAUCUGAGAAAGUGGUGAAAGUGGCAAUGUGUUUUGUGAUCUGACCUCAGAAAUGACGUAUUGUCAUCUUCUAUUUGGUAGAGGAGAGCUGUUAUGUCUAGCUCACGCUCAAGGAAAUGACUUACUGCAAAGAACCACUCUUCCCCACGAGACUUCGAGAAGACCCGCUGUCACGGACUGAGUUGUGUCCUCUUAAAAUUCAGAUGUUGGAGUCCAAACCCCCAGUAACUCAGAGUGUGAACGUAUUUGAAGAGGUCUUUAAAGAGGUGAUGAAGGUCUUUGUCUCUGACAAUUUGCCUCUGUGACGUGGAUGGGACUGGAAGUCCAUUUGGAGCCCUGUCUUCUCCACCUAGGGAGAGAGACCCCAUGAGCUCGUCAAGCUCCUUCUGUGACUGAUCAGAGAUCCCACCGUGAGUCCAGCUCCUGGUCCCAUGCUCUGGAUAUAUCGGUCCCUGGCAGCGUGGCUCCAUCUCCGUAGCCUGCUUUUGACAAAAGUGGAUACAUAAAUCUAGGGGCCACCUAGCUAGUUCUAAUAAGACUUUGGAAGUCAAAAGCUAAAGAAGACCAGGGGACCAAGCUGGAAAUCAGGCUCUGCAAUCAGAUUCCAGAGGGAAUGCCAUUCCACCCAAUCACCUAGCCACAACGGUUCCCUUCCUUCAAGAUGCUGCAUGCCUCUUCAGGCGAAUGGAUUACCUUGUAAGAGUGACCUGAAAAAGCGUUAGCCCAGCCACACCGAGGCUUAACUGAGCCAUUUGAUUCUCACUGCCUCUCUCUGUUGCUUCCUCUUGCUUUCAACUACAGGGUCUUUCUGUUUAGGUGGUGAAAAAAAUGAUCGUUAAAAACAAUAAACCUGGGGACCUCUGAUACCAUG
This 880-nucleotide long non-coding RNA is filed under the name Homo sapiens (human). RNAcentral describes it as "HSALNT0332081". The record is from RNAcentral. Lineage: Eukaryota; Metazoa; Chordata; Mammalia; Primates; Hominidae.